CAAAGACUCUCGGCGGUCUCGGUUCUCUGCCUCUCGUGGACAGUGCGUUCAGCAGUACACUGGCUGCAGAUACCACCGAGGGCCCACCUGGGCGCACCUUGCUUCUCCUGGCACACUCGCUGGGUACUGUUCUCCCGGACUUUCCUCUCCGCCGCCGCGGCCUGCUCUUCCGACCACUCAACAUUGUCCCUGGGAAAAUCAAACGGGCAGCUUAGAGGCCUCACGUUCCAGCCGCGGGCAGGCACCUGAAGUUAUUUUUCUGCAGAAAUUUGGAAGACGUGACUCUGAGUCCUCUGUGCUACCAGACUUCACGCUGGACUGUAUCUUCAGCAAGCAAAACUUUUCAGGGGAGUUAAGGGUCCCUCUGCUGGUGAGCUGGAAGAGCUCUUCUAGCUGGGUGGCAUGGGUUCAAAGCCUGGAAAGGUUAACAACUCUCAGUCUGGAUCACUGUCUUGGGUGUCAACCUGGGACGUGGGUAAUUAUUUCAUGCUUUUCUUUAAGUUCCAGUCAGUGGAAAUUCCGGUCUGUGUAAGCAUGUGCUCUGGAACUGAAAGUGGGGGAAGGGACCCCGGUGUCCUGAUUUGCUCUCCUUAAAGUUUCACAGAACAUGUAGCAGGCUAGAUAAUUGAAUAAGCUGAUUUAACAAAUUUAAA
This is a long non-coding RNA of Acinonyx jubatus (cheetah), 653 nucleotides long. RefSeq lists it as uncharacterized. The transcript has 2 exons. Lineage: Eukaryota; Metazoa; Chordata; Mammalia; Carnivora; Felidae. The record is from RefSeq and is a predicted model, not a curated record.